This is a long non-coding RNA of Oncorhynchus kisutch (coho salmon), 3041 nucleotides long. RefSeq lists it as uncharacterized. Lineage: Eukaryota; Metazoa; Chordata; Actinopteri; Salmoniformes; Salmonidae. The transcript is spliced from 3 exons. The record is from RefSeq and is a predicted model, not a curated record.
GAGUGGGAAUUCCUUGAAUAAAAUGAUCCCAAUAAUCUUGAGCUGGGUGUUGUCACUAGUGUUGGAGCUACAAAUGUUUGUCACUCCUGUGCUUGUUACAGUAAUGCGCCCUCAUCUGCCCUGGAGUGUUGUAACUGGUUCAGGAACUUAAUGUUGAGCUCUAGAACUGCAUCAUGGGAAAUGCAAUUUAUAAACACUUUGCGAACCACCAGCCUAAAUUGGGACCUAUCACCGGGAAACAUCCAGUGGUGUGGAGAUAUUUCACCAGAGGACAACUUGGCAUUUGACCAGGAAAUGCAGUUGAUGAGCCAGACAGACACUUCCUGCCCCACAACGGCUGGGUGAUGUCAGAUGACCCGCCUGACAAACUUUGCAGAGCCAGGUCAGCUGAUAGUUCAGUAGUAUUAGGUUACAGGUCAGCUGAUAGUUCAGUAGUAUUAGGUUCCAGGCCAGCUGCUACUGCUGUUGUAACUGGUCUAGUUUCGGCCUGUAAUUGUCAUAUCCAGUCUAUACCAAAAGGGGGUGGUAAAGAUGGACCUUUCCCUGAGAAAUGUGACACUUUUUUUGUUUGUUUUAGAUAUCAUUGAUAUUUCUAACUCUUCUGUUUCAUCCCUGUCUGGCUCUACCUUGUACCCGAGGGGAGAGCUGAUCUGCUGGGGAGAGCUGAUCUGCUGGGGAGACAGCCUGAAGCUGUGCUGCUUAGGGGAGAGCUGAUCUGCUGGGGAGAGCUGAUCUGCUGGGGAGACAGCCUGAAGCUGUGCUGCUUAGGGGAGAGCUGAUCUGCUGGGGAGACAGCCUGAAGCUGUGCUGCUUAGGGGAGAGCUGAUCUGCUGGGGAGACAGCCUGAAGCUGUUCUGUUGAGGGGAGAGCUGAUCUGCUGGGGAGACAGCCUGAAGCUGUUCUGUUGAGGGGAGAGCUGAUCUGCUGGGGAGACAGCCUGAAGCUGUGCUGCUGAGGGGAGAGCUGAUCUGCUGGGGAGACGGCCUGAAGCUGUGCUGCUGAGGGGAGAGCUGAUCUGCUGGGGAGACAGCCUGAAGCUGUGCUGCUGAGGGGAGAGCUGAUCUGCUGGGGAGACGGCCUGAAGCUGUGCUGCUGAGGGGAGAGCUGAUCUGCUGGGGAGACAGCCUGAAGCUGUGCUGCUGAAGGGAGAGCUGAUCUGCCAAAGCCUCUACCCCUUCACUUUCCCCUUCCCAUCUCUCGCCCUCUUCUCUAUCUCCAACCUCACUCUUUCUCCCUCCCCAAAAUUGCCUAUGUUGCAUUGUGUGCCCUGGUGUGUGUGGUGUGGCUGUAUGUAGUACAUGCUGGAGAGAACUCGCAAGGUGAAGCCAGACCUGUAUAUGGUGGCUGAGCUGUUCACAGGCAGCGAAGAGCUGGACAAUGUCUUUGUCACUAGACUGGCCAUUACCUCCCUCAUCAGAGAGGCCAUGAGGGCAGGAGACAGUCACGAGGAGGGUAGGCUGGUCCAUACGUUUGGUGGAGAGCCUAUGGGCUCGUCUGAGGCUGGGCUGAAGAACGUCUAGUGCCCUCUAUCGCCCAUGCCAUGUUCCUCGACGUUACCCAUGACAAUGAUAUGGUCCAAUUCACAAACCUAUCAAUAUAACUCCUUGUAACCCCUACUGCCUCUGAUCUGGCAGAAUCACUGUAUUUGUGAAUGUUGGAGUGUGCCCCUGUUUGUACAUUUAAAAAGCAACAAAAAAGUGGUGUUUGCAUAAUGUGAGGAAUUUGAUGUAUAGCUUUUACUUUUACUCAAGUAUAACAAUUGUAUUUUUUGUACAAAAUCUUUAAAAAAGAGGUGGUGGUUCUGGAGGCCAGGACUGUGGAGAGGAUCGGAUCGCUGUGUUAAACCAGAAAGACAGGAACGGCAUCAACAGUCUGCCGAAGCACACUGUAGAGAUCAGAGAACACAUCCAGGACAAUUACUCAACACAUCUCCAGGCUGUGUAAGGGCUAUUUGACCAAGAAGGAAAGUGGAGUGCUGCAUCAGAUGACUUGGCCUCCGCAAUCACCCAACCUCAAACCCAAUUGAGAUGGUUUGGGAUGAGUUAGACCGCAGAGUGAAGGAAAAGCAGCCAACAAGUGCUCAGCGUGUGGGAACUCCUUCAAGACUGUUGGAAAAGCAUUCCAGGUGAAGCUGGUUGAGAUAAUGUCAAGAUUGCCUUCAUGACAGCUUUGAACAAAGGGUGGCUACUUGAGGAAUCAACAAUCAAAAAAUAUAUUUUGAUUUAACACUUUUUUUGGUUACUACAUGAUUCCAAAUGUGUUAUUUCAUAGUUUUAAUGUUUUCGCUAUUAUUCUACAAUGUAGAAAAUAGUACAAAUAAAGAAAAACCCAUGAAUCUGUAGGUGUCCAAACUUUUGACUGGUACUGUAUAUAAAUUCCGGCGACUAAUAUUACUCGUUCUGAUAUUUCUUAUAUAUUUUUUUAUUUCUUUAUAAACUUUUGGUAUUAUGUUUGCAUUAUAUAAGCAUUUUGCUGCACCUGUGAUAACAUCUGCAAAUUUGUUUACUCGACCGAUACAUUUUUAUCUAAUUUGAAGUACAACUUACAGACUGUAGUUUACUGUUGAGAGUUAGAAUGGUAGAAUACACAAGGUGCAGUUUUGAAACUUGGUUGUGCAUCAGCAAUUUGCCUCUUCUUAUAUGUUACUCAUUGACAGGCACUCAAUUAGCCCAUGUCAGUUAAACGUUUUGUUAAAUUGGUCUAGUUAGUCUAGCCAGUUAUCUAAAUUUGUAGUCAUCAUGGCCGAAUUACCGUCCGGGAACACUGGGCACGUGCCCAGGGGCCCAGACCUCCGGGGGGGCCCCCAUUGAGUUUCUUAGUCACUCUGAUUCAGGUAUCAUAUUAACAUGGCAUAAGUCAUGUCAACAUAUGUAGAAUUGCUGGAAAAUAGCUUUUAAAACUGCAAAAAAUGUCUCCCCAACCCAUGGCAAAAUGUGUAGAAUUUCAGGAAAUUAGCUCCUAAACAGUAACAACAACAAAAAGUUAUGUAAAGCAAACGUAUGGGUGUUCCUUUUGUUAAUAAAAUAAUUGUUGCGAACAGA